GCCGGUUCGGACUGGUUCACGUGAAUCCGUAGCUGUGAUGAUCAGCUGAGAGCGAACUGGUUCGCACCAACUAUCAGCUGGGCCCACCCAUCCGGCCCAUGCUAUACCGACCCAUAUUUCCUUUGUUUGAAGCCCAGCUGAUAGACGCGCCAGAGCAGAUUGCCACGCCUCAGCUGUUUUACUCACCGGGACUGCAGUAGAAGGACCUACAGGGCAAUACUGCUGUGACUAACUUGGAUAUAUUGCAACAAUGAUUUCCACAUUUCACAAAUUGUUCUUGGGAUGAACUCAUUUCUAUUGAGAUGUUUCCCAAUGUGUACCUUAAACUGGACUUUCCAUCGAGAUCUGUAAGAUUGGCUGCUGCAGAAGCUGGUUCAAAUAUGUCCCUAUGACUUAUAAACCUGACUACAUGAUAAGGAAGUGCAACAGCUCAAGAAUGGAAUUCCAAAGAAAAGGCCUUUGAUCACAACAUUAAGCCAAGUCAAAAGAUGAGCCACCUAAGCAUACCACAGGCUUUCUGGAUCUUGC
Ahaetulla prasina is the source of this 528-nucleotide long non-coding RNA. RefSeq lists it as uncharacterized. The record is from RefSeq and is a predicted model, not a curated record. The transcript has 3 exons. NCBI's taxonomy places the organism in Eukaryota, Metazoa, Chordata, Lepidosauria, Squamata, Colubridae.